This 294-nucleotide ribosomal RNA is filed under the name uncultured bacterium. RNAcentral's name for it is "partial 16S ribosomal RNA". It matches the Rfam family "Bacterial small subunit ribosomal RNA", at positions 775 to 1067 of the family's 1533-position model. The record is from RNAcentral.
GGAUUAGAUACCCUGGUAGUCCACGCCCUAAACGAUGUCUACUAGUUGUCGGGGAUUAAUUUCCUUGGUAACACAGCUAACGCGGGAAGUAGACCGCCUGGGGAGUACGGUCGCAAGAUUAAAACUCAAAGGAAUUGACGGGGACCCGCACAAGCGGUGGAUGAUGUGGAUUAAUUCGAUGCAACGCGAAAAACCUUACCUACGCUUGACAUGUCUGGAAUCCUGUAGAGAUGCGGGAGUGCUCGAAAGAGAGCCAGAACACAGGUGCUGCAUGGCUGUCGUCAGCUCGUGUCG